AUAGGUGCCCGUACCGCAAACCGACACAGGUAGUCAAGAUGAGAAUUCUAAGGUGAGCGAGCGAACUCUCGUUAAGGAACUCGGCAAAAUGACCCCGUAACUUCGGGAGAAGGGGUGCUCUUUAGGGUUAACGCCCAGAAGAGCCGCAGUGAAUAGGCCCAAGCGACUGUUUAUCAAAAACACAGGUCUCUGCUAAACCGUAAGGUGAUGUAUAGGGGCUGACGCCUGCCCGGUGCUGGAAGGUUAAGAGGAGUGGUUAGCUUCUGCGAAGCUACGAAUCGAAGCCCCAGUAAACGGCGGCCGUAACUAUAACGGUCCUAAGGUAGCGAAAUUCCUUGUCGGGUAAGUUCCGACCCGCACGAAAGGCGUAACGAUUUGGGCACUGUCUCAACGAGAGACUCGGUGAAAUCAUAGUACCUGUGAAGAUGCAGGUUACCCGCGACAGGACGGAAAGACCCCGUGGAGCUUUACUGUAGCCUGAUAUUGAAAUUCGGCACAGCUUGUACAGGAUAGGUAGGAGCCUUUGAAACGUGAGCGCUAGCUUACGUGGAGGCGCUGGUGGGAUACUACCCUAGCUGUGUUGGCUUUCUAACCCGCACCACUUAUCGUGGUGGGAGACAGUGUCAGGCGGGCAGUUUGACUGGGGCGGUCGCCUCCUAAAAGGUAACGGAGGCGCUCAAAGGUUCCCUCAGAAUGGUUGGAAAUCAUUCAUAGAGUGUAAAGGCAUAAGGGAGCUUGACUGCGAGACCUACAAGUCGAGCAGGGUCGAAAGACGGACUUAGUGAUCCGGUGGUUCCGCAUGGAAGGGCCAUCGCUCAACGGAUAAAAGCUACCCCGGGGAUAACAGGCUUAUCUCCCCCAAGAGUUCACAUCGACGGGGAGGUUUGGCACCUCGAUGUCGGCUCAUCGCAUCCUGGGGCUGUAGUCGGUCCCAAGGGUUGGGCUGUUCGCCCAUUAAAGCGGUACGCGAGCUGGGUUCAGAACGUCGUGAGACAGUUCGGUCCCUAUCCGUCGUGGGCGUAGGAAAUUUGAGAGGAGCUGUCCUUAGUACGAGAGGACCGGGAUGGACAUACCUCUGGUGUACCAGUUGUCGUGCCAACGGCAUAGCUGGGUAGCUAUGUGUGGACGGGAUAAGUGCUGAAAGCAUCUAAGCAUGAAGCCCCCCUCAAGAUGAGAUUUCCCAACUUCGGUUAUAAGAUCCCUCAAAGAUGAUGAGGUUAAUAGGUUCGAGGUGGAAGCAUGGUGACAUGUGGAGCUGACGAAUACUAAUCGAUCGAAGACUUAAUCAAAA
RNAcentral lists this ribosomal RNA (1291 nucleotides) under Staphylococcus aureus. RNAcentral describes it as "partial 23S ribosomal RNA". It matches the Rfam family "Bacterial large subunit ribosomal RNA", at positions 1634 to 2925 of the family's 2925-position model. The record is from RNAcentral. Lineage: Bacteria; Bacillati; Bacillota; Bacilli; Caryophanales; Staphylococcaceae.